RNAcentral lists this ribosomal RNA (229 nucleotides) under Acinetobacter baumannii ABNIH23. Its description in RNAcentral is "partial 23S ribosomal RNA". It matches the Rfam family "Bacterial large subunit ribosomal RNA", at positions 2712 to 2925 of the family's 2925-position model. The record is from RNAcentral. Lineage: Bacteria; Pseudomonadati; Pseudomonadota; Gammaproteobacteria; Moraxellales; Moraxellaceae.
GUGUACCGGUUGUGACGCCAGUCGCAUCGCCGGGUAGCUAUGUUCGGAAGGGAUAACCGCUGAAAGCAUCUAAGCGGGAAGCCUACCUCAAGAUAAGAUUUCCCUAGGACUUUAUGUCCUCUAAAGAGCCGUUCGAGACUAGGACGUUGAUAGGUUGGAUGUGGAAGCAUAGUGAUAUGUGAAGCUGACCAAUACUAAUUGCUCGUGAGGCUUGACUAUACAACACCCA